AAAGAAACCAACAGGGAUUGCCCUAGUAACGGCGAGUGAAGCGGCAACAGCUCAAAUUUGAAAUCUGGCCCUCGGGUCCGAGUUGUAAUUUGUAGAGGAUGUUUUUGGUGAGGUACCUUCCGAGUUCCCUGGAACGGGACGCCAUAGAGGGUGAGAGCCCCGUCUGGUUGGAUACCGAUCCUCUGUAAAACUCCUUCAACGAGUCGAGUAGUUUGGGAAUGCUGCUCUAAAUGGGAGGUAUAUGUCUUCUAAAGCUAAAUAUUGGCCAGAGACCGAUAGCGCACAAGUAGAGUGAUCGAAAGAUGAAAAGCACUUUGAAAAGAGAGUUAAAAAGUACGUGAAAUUGUUGAAAGGGAAGCGCUUAUGACCAGACUUGGACUUGGUUGAUCAUCCUGGGUUCUCCCUGGUGCACUCUUCCAGUUCAGGCCAGCAUCAGUUCGUCGCGGGGGAUAAAGGCUUCGGGAAUGUGGCUCCCUCGGGAGUGUUAUAGCCCGUUGUGUAAUACCCUGCUUUGGACUGAGGUUCGCGCAUCUGCAAGGAUGCUGGCGUAAUGGUCAUCAGCGACCCGUCUUGAAACACGGACCAAGGAGUCGUCUUCGUAUGCGAGUGUUCGGGUGUUAAACCCCUACGCGUAAUGAAAGUGAACGCAGGUGAGAGCUUCGGCGCAUCAUCGACCGAUCCUGAUGUUCUCGGAUGGAUUUGAGUAAGAGCAUACGGGGCCGGACCCGAAAGAAGGUGAACUAUGCUUGUAUAGGGUGAAGCCAGAGGAAACUCUGGUGGAGGCUCGCAGCGGUUCUGACGUGCAAAUCGAUCGUCAAAUAUGAGCAUGGGGGCGAAAGACUAAUCGAACCUUCUAGUAGCUGGUUUCCGCCGAAGUUUCCCUCAGA
Molecule: ribosomal RNA, 887 nt
Filed under: Cylindrocladiella hawaiiensis
Lineage: Eukaryota; Fungi; Ascomycota; Sordariomycetes; Hypocreales; Nectriaceae
Description: eukaryotic LSU rRNA
Rfam family: Eukaryotic large subunit ribosomal RNA
Source: RNAcentral